CAAGGUCUAUUUUAGAAUGGCAUUAUUGUUAUCUCAUAAAGUAGACAAGACGGUAUAGUAUCGGGCAGAUAUCGUAUCUCAUUAUACGGCAAUUACAUCUCGUUUUAUUAGCUCGUCACUGCGAAAAGCAGCAUGAAAUGUUGAAAUUGUAACGGAUUUAGAACAUUGUAAUACCUAUCAUGUGCAAACAAAUAGGCAUAGAUAGUCGAGUUUAUUUUACUUCAUAUUAUCAUGCUCUCUUGUUGACGAGUUGUAAUUAGAGAUUUAUAAUCCCCGCGAAGGGCGUCGAGCGAAAACUCCUCGAGAGGAAAACCCACAGACAGAAUAAGCCGGCAGAAUGCGCCGAUCGUCAUUCUUGGAUUGUAACUGCGACAGGCGCAAUCGAUCCGAGUGAAAAAGCACGAGGUGCAGAAACAAGCAACACAGUACUCGUUCGCGCAUUUCCUGACGAGGUCGAAACAGACGCACGUUCGUUCCGCGCGUUCACCAAGUUGUACGGAAAUGGCACGAUACGCCGAGAACGUGUACUACGAAACUGCCAUUAAACUGACGCGUGAAGCUGCCCAGUUUGAGAGUAGCAGCGGACCUGACCAAACCUAAUACUAUGUUGUAAGUGCAUUAA
Molecule: long non-coding RNA, 622 nt
Organism: Temnothorax curvispinosus
Lineage: Eukaryota; Metazoa; Arthropoda; Insecta; Hymenoptera; Formicidae
Exons: 2
Source: RefSeq, a predicted model, not a curated record